Long non-coding RNA from Bos indicus x Bos taurus (hybrid cattle), 2488 nucleotides. Lineage: Eukaryota; Metazoa; Chordata; Mammalia; Artiodactyla; Bovidae. The record is from Ensembl.
AUUCCAAAGCACCAGGGAACAGGACCACUCUUUUCAGUGGAGGGUAACAGGCCUGAUCUCUGUUUUCACCCCUUCCAGCCUCUUCCUCUUGGGAGGAGAAGUGACUUUUUCUCUGACGCCUUUGGGAGAACAUCACCCCUUCUACCUUCUCCUUUGAAAGAAUUCUGGACAGCUCUCCAGCCAGGCAGAAAUGCUUGUACAUGUCCAGUGAAGACCAGGACUGUAUCGGGAUGUUCCUCACUGUCCUCUGCACUCACCACAUUUGGAGGAAGGAGAGUAAGUGAUGUUUACUCUUGGAAGGAUGAGAUCAUCCAGUGCAAGUUAAGUAGAGGGAGAGAUGAAGAGGCCAAGUCUGGAAAACAUAGCCUUCAAGGGUGUGGUUCGCACACUGUACUUCCCAGAGCACCGGGAUCUAGAGAGAUCCCUUCAGGGCUUCCAGGAGAGGAGACCAGGGAACAAAUCACCACUAGCUCCCAGAACCACCACCUCUGUUUCAACCACUGCAGUUGUGAUUUUCUGCUCUUUAUAUGAGGCUUGCUGCUGCUGCUGCUAAGUUGCUUCAGUCAUGUCCUGACUCUGUGCGAACCCAUAGAGGGCAGCCCACCAGGCUCCCCCAUCCCUGGGACUCUCCAGGCAAGAACACUGGAGUGGGUUGCCAUUUCCUUCUCCUUAGGUAUACAUAAAUUUCACUUGUUAAAAAAAAAAAGUUUCCACUACAAAAAAAAUAGUUUGAAAACCAGUGAUAUAAAGAAUGAACAUAGAAAAGAGCAAUUCACAAAGGGGAGUGCGGACGACCUGCCAAAACACAAGAGGAAGGAGGAAUGUUUGCAAACUAGGAAGACUCAGAAAUGGAAAUUUUCAAGAGGGAGGGACAGACAAAGGCACCCCAGGCUGGAGGGAAAGCAGGUACAUGGGCUGCAGAUAGAAGAGUGACCAGUGGGUCAGUUGACACUGUGAUCCUGGCAGAGGGCUGAGCAACAAGCCCACAUGGCCGUGGGUGAAGAAGUGAGUUAAGAAGCGAAGAAGGUUAGACAGUGUGGACCUCACCGUGCAGAAGGUGAUAGAGAGGAAGGUAUCGUUUCCCAAUGCCUUCAAGCUGUCAAAUGGAUCCACACACCAAGGAAAUUCAGUCUCUGCAAUGUGCUGGGCAAUUAAGUGUGCUUCAUGGUAGAAAGGGAGAAAUCCUUCAAACAGAGUGGCAGAAAUAGGGGCAGCAGAGGCAAGCGGGAGUGAGUACCAAGACAUGUCCUAGGCGUCUUUCCUGGAAGGGCAAGGUGGGGCUUUUUUGUUUCUGUUCUUCCAUGUUAAAGAGAACAUUCAUCUUUCUAGGAAGUCCAGGUGUCAGGUAGGAGUUGCCAUUAACAAGGCCUCCUCUGUCUCUAGCAUAGUGACGACUGUCAGACCAGCAGGGGAGAAUGGCUCCCCCUUCCCCCAUAUUUCAUGUCCCUCUGGCAGCAAGGACAUACACGUUAUGGACUGGCUGCCUAAUGGUCCCUGGAAGUCAAUGACGUGACACCAUUAGUGUUGGGGACCUCAGAGGGACCUCUGCCUUCCUGCUUAGGGAAAAACACUGGAAAGAAUCAGAAAGCAACAGCUAGACAGAACAAAAACUUCUGAAGUGAAGAAACACUGGAAAAGCAGUAGGGGAAAAAAUUAAGAAUCUCACGUGUCAUUUCGCUAAGGGCGGUUCUGACAUUCAAAUUAUGUUUGACCUCCUCACACAAGGGCACGGAAAGGAGACAGAAACAUUUGCACAGCCUUCUGAACUCUGCAGGAGAAACGACCUCCAAGAGGCACUUCAGAUCACUAGAAGGAACCAAGAUCCCUGCUUUCUAGCCCCAGCUCUGAUCUUAUGCGUGACCCUGCUCUCCACCAGUUGUGUUUUCUGAAAUCUUUCUUCACUCAGCAGCAAAACUGCUUUUAUAAACCUAAUUCAUUAGUGCUUGCCAUGGUUCUUGCCUGCUUAAGGGCAGGUGAGAAAAUGUGUCCAGGUCCUUAAUCAGGUUUAGUUCUCACAACAGCCUUGAAUAGCCUCGUUACCCACUUUAUAGAUGGGAAAACAAAGGCCUGGAGAACAUGGGUCGCUGGUGCAAGGUCUCUCAGCAGAUAAGCAGCAGAGCUAAGUCAAGAAGAGAGAAAUACCUGGCUUUAAAAAAAUGAGAGGAAAUAGAAUGAGUGAUAAAGGGAUAAUGAACUAACAUUACUAUAUAUUUUAGAAAUGUAAAGUCCCACUUUGAGGCUUUUGUGUUCUUUCCCUGUUCUCUCUCAGGGUUGCUUUUUUGUCCACAUGAACUGAACUGAACUGAACUGCUAGUCAGAUAGUCCUGUUCCUGGUGGGAGAUUUAAUGUUCAAAAAGUGGUAACUAGGCAAGUUCUGGCAUGUUAAGCAGUGCAAAAUUGAUAAAUCUUAGAGUGUCCAGAAGAUAUUAAGUGGAGAGCAGGUGAAAAACACCAUCUUGUGUUUAAAUAAAUUUUUAUAUACUCACCA